Molecule: ribosomal RNA, 440 nt
Filed under: uncultured bacterium
Lineage: Bacteria
Description: partial 16S ribosomal RNA
Rfam family: Bacterial small subunit ribosomal RNA
Source: RNAcentral
CCUACGGGUGGCAGCAGUGGGGAAUAUUGCACAAUGGGGGAAACCCUGAUGCAGCGACGCCGCGUGAGUGAAGAAGGAAUUCGGUAUGUAAAGCUCUAUCAGCAGGGAAGAAAAUGACGGUACCUGAGUAAGAAGCCCCGGCUAACGACGUGACAGCAGCCGCGGUAAUACGUAGGGGGCAAGCGUUAUCCGGAUUUACUGGGUGUAAAGGGAGCGUAGACGGGAGUGCAAGUCUGGAGUGAAAGGCGGGGGCUCAACCCCCGGACUGCUCUGGAAACUGUACGCCUGGAGUGCAGGAGAGGUAAGUGGAAUUCCUAGUGUAGCGGUGAAAUGCGUAGAUAUUAGGAGGAACACCAGUGGCGAAGGCGGCUUACUGGACUGUAACUGACGUUGAGGCUCGAAAGCGUGGGGAGCAAACAGGAUUAGAUACCCCAGUAGUC